AUUGAACGCUGGCGGCAGGCCUAACACAUGCAAGUCGAACGGUAGCACAGAGAGCUUGCUCUCGGGUGACGAGUGGCGGACGGGUGAGUAAUGUCUGGGAAACUGCCCGAUGGAGGGGGAUAACUACUGGAAACGGUAGCUAAUACCGCAUAACGUCGCAAGACCAAAGUGGGGGACCUUCGGGCCUCACACCAUCGGAUGUGCCCAGAUGGGAUUAGCUAGUAGGUGGGGUAAUGGCUCACCUAGGCGACGAGCCCUAGUUGGUCUGAGAGGAUGACCAGCCACACUGGAACUGAGACACGGUCCAGACUCCUACGGGAGGCAGCAGUGGGGAAUAUUGCACAAUGGGCGUAAGCCUGAUGCAGCCAUGCCGCGUGUAUGAAGAAGGCCUUCGGGUUGUAAAGUACUUUCAGCGGGGAGGAAGGCGGUGAAGUUAAUAACUUCACCGAUUGACGUUACCCGCAGAAGAAGCACCGGCUAACUCCGUGCCAGCCGCCGCAGUAA
This 504-nucleotide ribosomal RNA is filed under the name uncultured bacterium. RNAcentral describes it as "partial 16S ribosomal RNA". It matches the Rfam family "Bacterial small subunit ribosomal RNA", at positions 30 to 523 of the family's 1533-position model. The record is from RNAcentral.